RNAcentral lists this unclassified non-coding RNA (253 nucleotides) under uncultured delta proteobacterium. RNAcentral describes it as "contains 16S-23S intergenic spacer region". It matches the Rfam family "Bacterial small subunit ribosomal RNA", at positions 524 to 776 of the family's 1533-position model. The record is from RNAcentral. Lineage: Bacteria; Deltaproteobacteria.
UACGGAGGGUGCAAGCGUUGUUCGGAUUUACUGGGCGUAAAGGGCGUGUAGGCGGAUGCGCAAGCUGGGGGUGAAAGGCCUGGGCUCAACCCGGGAGGGUCUCCCAGAACUGCGUGUCUAGAGACAGUCAGAGGCAGGUGGAAUUCCUGGUGUAGAGGUGAAAUUCGUAGAGAUCAGGAGGAACACCGGCGGCGAAGGCGGCCUGCUGGGACUGUUCUGACGCUGAGGCGCGAAAGCGUGGGGAGCAAACAGG